RNAcentral lists this non-coding RNA (91 nucleotides) under Fulvimarina pelagi. RNAcentral describes it as "Glycine sequence". It matches the Rfam family "Glycine riboswitch aptamer". Rfam says of the family: This family represents the bacterial glycine riboswitch. RNAcentral also lists the same sequence under 1 other name. Lineage: Bacteria; Pseudomonadati; Pseudomonadota; Alphaproteobacteria; Hyphomicrobiales; Aurantimonadaceae. The record is from RNAcentral.
UCGUCACCGCCGGGAGAGUUCGGCCGCAAGGCCGGCGCCGAAGGAGCAACCGCCCCGGAAUCUCUCAGGCUUAAGGGACCGGUGGUGGCGC